CAUUGCCUUAGCCGUAUCAUAUACGAAACUAUUAUAUUGGAGGAUAACCACUGAUUCUAUAUAAUUUGUCACCGUGGAACUAAAGAAAGAAAGAAUAUUCAUCAGCGGAGUCACACAUGUCGCCAGCAAAUCUUCUCCAGCAAGUAUUCCGAACAGAAUACUAGUUGUAGUUACUUUGUCCCUCGCAACCACUAGUAUUAUAAGCACAUUGCCGAAAAUCGACGAAGCUACCAUCGGCAUUGCGAGGCACAAAUAACACGUCACAACACAGCCACUCACCGCCUUGUCGCCCUUCACAUACUCCGUCUGCAUAAAGGGGCCUAUUCACCGAGUCGAACUCCGUCCAGUCCACCUUGAAGUGCGGGUCCGAUCCCUUGCGCAUCACGACGCCGUUUUUGAGCUCCCAGAGACCCGCCGGAUCGGACGCCCGCUGCCACCGGAGGUCGAGGCUCCAUCGGAUGUCCUUGGACAUGUUCGGCAGGCUCCGGUGAGGAAUGACGUUAUUGAAGAGGAUAAAGCCGCCGCUCUUCACCGGAAGUGUACGCCGGUCGCGAUCCAUAUUCACGCCUACAAUGACG
Long non-coding RNA from Dreissena polymorpha, 578 nucleotides. RefSeq lists it as uncharacterized. NCBI's taxonomy places the organism in Eukaryota, Metazoa, Mollusca, Bivalvia, Myida, Dreissenidae. The transcript is spliced from 3 exons. The record is from RefSeq and is a predicted model, not a curated record.